RNAcentral lists this ribosomal RNA (253 nucleotides) under uncultured bacterium. RNAcentral's name for it is "partial 16S ribosomal RNA". It matches the Rfam family "Bacterial small subunit ribosomal RNA", at positions 524 to 776 of the family's 1533-position model. The record is from RNAcentral.
UACGUAGGGUCCGAGCGUUGUCCGGAGUUAGUGGGCGUAAAGCGCGCGCAGGCGGCGGUAUAAGCAUGGCGUGAAAGCCCCAGGCUCAACCUGGGAGGGUCGUCGUGGACUGUACCGCUUGAGGGCGGUAGGGGCUGGUGGAAUGCCUGGUGUAGUGGUGAAAUGCGUAGAGAUCAGGCGGAACACCCGUGGCGAAGGCGGCCAGCUGGGCCGUCCCUGACGCUGAGGCGCGAAGGCGUGGGGAGCGAACGGG